GAUGAACGCUAGCGGCAGGCUUAACACAUGCAAGUCGAGGGGUAUGCCGAUUUAUCGGCAGAGACCGGCGCACGGGUGCGUAACGCGUAUGCAAUCUACCUUUUCACAGAGGGAUAGCCCAGAGAAGUUUGGAUUAAUACCUCAUAGUAUAGCAGUUUCGCAUGAAACCACUAUUAAAGUUCCAACGGUGAAAGAUGAGCAUGCGUCCCAUUAGCUAGAUGGUAAGGUAACGGCUUACCAUGGCUACGAUGGGUAGGGGUCCUGAGAGGGAGAUCCCCCACACUGGU
This 287-nucleotide ribosomal RNA is filed under the name uncultured bacterium. RNAcentral's name for it is "partial 16S ribosomal RNA". It matches the Rfam family "Bacterial small subunit ribosomal RNA", at positions 28 to 317 of the family's 1533-position model. The record is from RNAcentral.